CUUCGGUCGAUUUAAUUUAAUUCUAGUGGCGGACGGGUGAGUAACGCGUGGGUAACCUACCUUAUACAGGGGGAUAACAGUCAGAAAUGGCUGCUAAUACCGCAUAAGCGCACAGAGCUGCAUGGCUCAGUGUGAAAAACUCCGGUGGUAUAAGAUGGACCCGCGUUGGAUUAGCUUGUUGGUGGGGUAACGGCCCACCAAGGCGACGAUCCAUAGCCGGCCUGAGAGGGUGAACGGCCACAUUGGGACUGAGACACGGCCCAGACUCCUACGGGAGGCAGCAGUGGGGAAUAUUGCACAAUGGGGGAAACCCUGAUGCAGCGACGCCGCGUGAAGGAAGAAGUAUCUCGGUAUGUAAACUUCUAUCAGCAGGGAAGAUAGUGACGGUACCUGACUAAGAAGCCCCGGCUAACUACGUGCCAGCAGCCGCGGUAAUACGUAGGGGGCAAGCGUUAUCCGGAUUUACUGGGUGUAAAGGGAGCGUAGACGGUGUGGCAAGUCUGAUGUGAAAGGCAUGGGCUCAACCUGUGGACUGCAUUGGAAACUGUCAUACUUGAGUGCCGGAGGGGUAAGCGGAAUUCCUAGUGUAGCGGUGAAAUGCGUAGAUAUUAGGAGGAACACCAGUGGCGAAGGCG
RNAcentral lists this ribosomal RNA (635 nucleotides) under uncultured Lachnospiraceae bacterium. Its description in RNAcentral is "bacterial SSU rRNA". It matches the Rfam family "Bacterial small subunit ribosomal RNA", at positions 78 to 723 of the family's 1533-position model. Lineage: Bacteria; Bacillati; Bacillota; Clostridia; Lachnospirales; Lachnospiraceae. The record is from RNAcentral.